Molecule: long non-coding RNA, 1131 nt
Filed under: Canis lupus dingo (dingo)
Lineage: Eukaryota; Metazoa; Chordata; Mammalia; Carnivora; Canidae
Description: lncRNA (ENSCAFG00020015040.1)
Source: RNAcentral
CCCGGAGAGACCUGCCGGGAGCCUCCGGGGGGAGGGCCCAAGCGGGCCUUCCCUCCCAAGCCCCAGCCAGUGCCCGGGGCGCUGGAGGCACCGGAACCUCCCCCCGCCCCGGGGCGGCCCUCCCCCUGCCCUGCCCUCGGACUCGGGGGAGGGGCGCGGGGCGCGGGACGCGGCGACACCCCUCCCCCCCCCCCCGCACGGCUAGGCCGCCGCUCGCCCCACCCCGAGCAGCCCCGCGGGCCCGCACCCACCCGGUCGCGCGGGCCCCGUCCCGGGGGCGGGGGCGGGGGCGGGGGGGCAGACUGCAAUACCAACCUCGCUGUUGAAGGUUUUCACAGCCUCCAUGUUGUCGGCGCGGAGGCCCCGAGCCCGGCGGCGGAAGAGGCGGCGGCCACUGCACUGGGUGGGGAGAGCGAGGCGGGGGCGGCGGCGCGGCCGCGAGGAGGGGCGCCGGCGGGAGCCCCGGCCGCUGCGACCCCGGGGCGGGCGCGGAAGGGCAGGCCCGGGCGGGGAAGGGCUCCCUCAGGGGCGGCGAGGCCCCGGCAUGGCCGCUGGGGCGGGCGGAGCGCCGGUCUGGGGAACACAGGCGCUGCCGGGGCGGGUCGACAGCGGGCGGGGGAGGGGCCGGGCCGCGGCGCCUUCUCUUCUCCGCCCCGCUCGGUCUCGGCCCGCCGCCCUCUAGCCCCGUCUCCUGCACUCUCCACCCCCUCUCUCUUCUUCCCUCGUCAGACUCCUGUUUCACCUCCCCGCCGCUCGGGCCGCAGGAACCAGCAGCGCGCGGCGAAGACGCAGGAGGAAGCGCUGGCAGCGGCGGCUGCGGCAUCCAAUAUGGCGGCCGCGAGUCGGGCCGCGCAGCUCGGAGAUCCGCGGCGCCGGCCAGCGCGCCCCCUGGUGACUGGACCGCGCGGGCCCGAGCGGCCGCGCGGAAACCAUCGAGCGGGCGCGGGCCAGAGCGUCGCCGCCCGGAGGUCCCGCUCCGCUCGCUCGGCCCGGGGGCAGCCCGCGCCUUGCAGGCACGGGAGCGAGCGCCGGGGCCGCGGCCGCGUGGGGCGCCCGGGCCCGCCCCCGCCCCCGCCCCCGGAGGCCCCCGCGGAGCGUUACCCCGAGACGGGCCCGAGUGUGUCCCCGUAA